GUCGUUGUAGUAUAGUGGUGAGUAUUCCCGCCUGUCACGCGGGUGACCCGGUUCGGUCCCCGGCAACGGCG
Picea glauca (white spruce) is the source of this 71-nucleotide non-coding RNA. NCBI's taxonomy places the organism in Eukaryota, Viridiplantae, Streptophyta, Pinopsida, Pinales, Pinaceae. The record is from Rfam.